Molecule: small RNA, 27 nt
Filed under: Bombyx mori (domestic silkworm)
Lineage: Eukaryota; Metazoa; Arthropoda; Insecta; Lepidoptera; Bombycidae
Description: ovarian small RNA-30262
Source: RNAcentral
UCUUUCUCAGCGCGCAGUGCCAUCUGC